RNAcentral lists this ribosomal RNA (359 nucleotides) under Neogonodactylus oerstedii. RNAcentral's name for it is "partial 12S ribosomal RNA". The record is from RNAcentral. Lineage: Eukaryota; Metazoa; Arthropoda; Malacostraca; Stomatopoda; Gonodactylidae.
UAAAAUAAAAUUACCCGGGUAGUAUUCAGUUAUGUUCUUGAAACCCAAAGAGUUUGGCGGUAUCUCAGCCUAGUUAGAGGAGCUUGUUCCGUAAUCGAUAAUCCGCGAAAUAUCUUACAUACUCUUGUAACCAGUUUAUAUACCGUCGUUGUCAGAUAAUACUAAAAGGUUAAUAAUUAUCUAAAUAUAAUUAAAUAUAAUAUAUCAGAUCAAGGUGUAACUUAUGAGUGUGAGCUGAAUGAGCUACAAUUUAUAAUAAUAUAAAAUACGGAAAUUAAUUUUAAAGGAGUUAAUAAAAGGUGGAUUUAAUAGUAAUUAAAUUUUUAGUAAGUUGUAAUGAUAUAAGCUCUGAGAUAUGU